GACGAACGCUGGCGGCGUGCCUAAUACAUGCAAGUCGAGCGAACAGACGAGGUGCUUGUUCCACUGACGUUAGCGGCGGACGGGUGAGUAACACGUGGGUAACCUACCUAUAAGCCUGGGAUAACUUCGGGAAACCGGAGCUAAUACCGGAUAAUAUAUUGAAACACAAGGUUCAAUAGUGAAAGACGCUUUUGCUGUACCCUAAAGUUGUAUCCCGGCCGCAUAAGUUGGUUGGUAAGGUAACGGCUUACCAAGCCAACGUUGCGUAGCCGACCUGAGAGGGUGACGGGCAACACUGGAACGGGACCACGGUCCAAACUCCUACGGGAGGCGGCGGAGGGGAUUCUUCCGCAAUGGGGGAAGGCCUGACGGAGCAAGGCGGCGUAGGGGAUGAAGGUCUUCGGAUCGUAAAACUCUGUUAUUGGGGAGAAACAAAUGUGUAAGUAACUAUGCACGUCUUGACGGUACCUAAUCAGAAAGCCACGGCUAACUACGUG
RNAcentral lists this ribosomal RNA (497 nucleotides) under uncultured bacterium. RNAcentral's name for it is "partial 16S ribosomal RNA". It matches the Rfam family "Bacterial small subunit ribosomal RNA", at positions 28 to 507 of the family's 1533-position model. The record is from RNAcentral.